RNAcentral lists this non-coding RNA (24 nucleotides) under Mus musculus (house mouse). Lineage: Eukaryota; Metazoa; Chordata; Mammalia; Rodentia; Muridae. The record is from RNAcentral.
CCAGAGGGCAUAUAUAACCACAAA